Molecule: ribosomal RNA, 276 nt
Filed under: Listeria monocytogenes
Lineage: Bacteria; Bacillati; Bacillota; Bacilli; Caryophanales; Listeriaceae
Description: partial 16S ribosomal RNA
Rfam family: Bacterial small subunit ribosomal RNA
Source: RNAcentral
GUGUUAGGGGGUUUCCGCCCCUUAGUGCUGCAGCUAACGCAUUAAGCACUCCGCCAGGGGAGUACGACCGCAAGGUAGAAACUCAAAGGAAUUGACGGGGGCCCGCACAAGCGGUGGAGCAUGUGGUUUAAAUCGAAGCAACGCGAAGAACCUAACCAGGUCUUGACAUCCUUUGACCACUCAGGAGACAGAGCUUUCCCUUCGGGGACAAAGAGACAGGUGGAGCAUGGUAGUCGUCAGCUCGUGUCGAGAGAUGUAGGUUUAAGUCCCGCAACG